CAUCCUUUGACAUCAGCACAGCCUCGAAAGGGGGAUGGGAGAGCAGGCAGAAAGCAGAAAAACCAGCUUUGAACUGUGCGUGCAAGGCCUCCGGCGCCUCAGGCCCCGUAAGGAUCCCAGCUUUCAGGGGACGGCACCUGGGGCCACAACCCUCCUCAGAGAGUGAACAAAUGACUCAGAGCAACUGGAAAAAAGCAGGGGCUUAGAAGAGGAGGAAGUCUAUCACUCCUACAGCUAGAAAAGGAGAGAAGCACCUGAUGGACACUGCUCAGGUCAGAAACCAGCUACUUUGUAUGUUUCAUAAAAAUCAAAAUUUUGUUUUUUGUUUUUCUUUUUUGAAACAGAGUUUUUCUGUGUAGCCUUGGCUGUCCUAGAACUCACUCUGUAGCCAGGCUGGCUUUGAAUUCAGAGAUCCACCUGUCUCUGCCUCCUGCCACCCAGGCUCAAAAGAAUCAAUUAAAAAAAAAACUGAAAUAAUCCCAAACUUCUGCAUAUUCCCCCAACCAAAGAAAAUUAAUAAAAGAUUAAUAAAAUGUAUUAGAAAAACAGUAAGCCUUUAGGAUUUAUCUAGCUCAUGUAAAAAGAACUAUGAAUGGUCAGCAAAGCAUUUUUAUCUAUUGUCAACAAUAACUUUAUAUAUAUUUAUCUGUGCUUAUGUAGUCCAGACAUGGCAAGGCACAAAUGGGGGGUCAGAGGAAAACUAAGAGUCAGUUCUCUCUUCCCACCAGGUGGGUCCCAGGAGACAGAACCCAGCCAUGGCAGCAGCACCUGCCCAACUCUAAUGAUACAAAGGAUAGUAACUACACAUGAUUUGGUGCUUUGACCAGAGCUACAGACUGCUCACCACCUUAGAAAAUAUUCUACCAACAGGCACCAAGAGGCUUUCCUUAGUCAUUUUACUUUAAGAAUCCAUUCUAAGACGGCAUGGUGGCACAGAGGCAGCUAGAUGGCUAUGAGUUUAAGGUCAGCCUGGUCUACAAAGAGGGUCCAAGACAACCAAGGCUACACAGAGAAACCCUGUCUUGAAAAACUAAAACUAAUAAAAUAACUAUGAAUGAAACGGUUCACUCAGAACAUAUUUUUAAAUUGUGCUGAAUGUGCCGAAAUACGACGCUAACAUCACAUUUAUUAUUUAUUACACUAACCUGGGUGUGUAUGCCCUCACAUGCCAUGGCAUGAGCCAGACCUUUCCUUCUACUAGGUAGGUCUCCCCAGGACAGAUCUCGAUUGCCAGUCUCGGCAGCAAGUUACCUUUACCUGUUGAGCUCCCGUGCCAGCCCUGUCUUAACCAUUUUCAAGUGUAUGGUUCAGUGUUCUGGACUGAAUGUGCACCCUGAUGUGGAACUGCAGUAAUUCCAUUCUACAUUUGACUAAGUGUCUCCACACUGUUUUACAGGGCUUGUACCAUUUGCUGUUCUCUGCACUGUCAGCAACACUUUCUGUGUGUGUGAUCUCAGGGUAACUUUCACUUGCAUCACUAAUCAUUAGUGAUGCUGAGCUUGUACACAUGGGCCUACGUACCUGUGUAUUCUUUGAGAAAUGUCAACUUGAGUCUAUAUAUCUAUAUAUUAAAUGCAGCUGUUUUGUCGUUGCUCGUGUGUAGGAAGUCUUCCUAUUGCCUAGAUAUUAAUCUGUUAUCGGACAUGUGGUCUGCAAAUAUUUCCCGCUACUCUGUAGACUGUCCAUUUACUGGGUACCCUUGCACAUACUGAGGUUUUCAAUUUUUAUACAGUCCAGUUUACUUGGUUUUAUUACCCAUACUUUUAAACAUUAUGUCCAAAAAAUCAUUGCUAGGUCUAAUAUCAUGAACAUCCCAUCCCCAAUUCCUUCCAAGCAUUUUUAACUUUUAGUUCAUAGCACCUAGGACUUUGACCCAUUCUGAGUGAAUUUCUGAAUGUGUGUGAGAUAAGGAUCCAAUUUCACUCUUGCCUGUGGACUUCCAGUUUCCAGUACUUUCUCCUUUGAGCUGGAUUUGCUCCUGGAUUUCCUUUCUAUCUAGUGGCCUUGGAGUCGCUAUGGAAACCACACCAUCUUAAUUACUGUAACUCUGUGGUUUUUAAAUCAAGAUGUGUGAGCGCUACAGCCAUUUUCUUCUUUUCCAAGAUUUUGGAUCUCUUGAUCUUCCCAAUGGAUUUUAAGAUGAAAUGUUCUAUUUCUAGAUAAAACAUUCAUAUUUUGCUAGGCAUGGCCUGUGUCUGUUGGUCACUAGUCUGGCACUGAUCCCUUAAUCACCUUAGUCUUCCAAUCCAUGGCUGCCCCUCCCUCUGGUGCUACCUGCUAUUGCUUUUAUCAGUGUCUGAGUCUUCCGUAAGGAGUUUCUCAACUCCUUAAGUUUAUUCUCAAGAAGUUUAUU
Long non-coding RNA from Meriones unguiculatus (Mongolian gerbil), 2353 nucleotides. RefSeq lists it as uncharacterized. NCBI's taxonomy places the organism in Eukaryota, Metazoa, Chordata, Mammalia, Rodentia, Muridae. The record is from RefSeq and is a predicted model, not a curated record. The transcript has 3 exons.